UAGGGAAUCUUCAGCAAUGGGGGGAACCCUGACCGAGCAACGCCGCGUGAGUGAAGAAGGUUUUCGGAUCGUAAAGCUCUGUUGUUAAGGAAGAACGAGUGUGAGAAUGGAAAGUUCAUGCUGUGACGGUACUUAACCAGAAAGGGACGGCUAACUACGUGCCAGCAGCCGCGGUAAUACGUAGGUCCCGAGCGUUGUCCGGAUUUAUUGGGCGUAAAGCGAGCGCAGGCGGUUAGAAAAGUCUGAAGUGAAAGGCAGUGGCUCAACCAUUGUAGGCUUUGGAAACUGUUUAACUUGAGUGCAGAAGGGGAGAGUGGAAUUCCAUGUGUAGCGGUGAAAUGCGUAGAUAUAUGGAGGAACACCGGUGGCGAAAGCGGCUCUCUGGUCUGUAACUGACGCUGAGGCUCGAAAGCGUGGGGAGCGAACAGG
This 429-nucleotide ribosomal RNA is filed under the name Bacteroidota bacterium. RNAcentral's name for it is "Bacteroidetes bacterium partial 16S ribosomal RNA". It matches the Rfam family "Bacterial small subunit ribosomal RNA", at positions 355 to 776 of the family's 1533-position model. Lineage: Bacteria; Pseudomonadati; Bacteroidota. The record is from RNAcentral. RNAcentral also lists the same sequence under 1 other name.